RNAcentral lists this ribosomal RNA (250 nucleotides) under uncultured bacterium. RNAcentral's name for it is "partial 16S ribosomal RNA". It matches the Rfam family "Bacterial small subunit ribosomal RNA", at positions 524 to 773 of the family's 1533-position model. The record is from RNAcentral.
GACGUAGGGGGCCAGCGUUGUUCGGAAUUACUGGGUGUAAAGGGUUCGUAGGCGGUGCGGCAAGUUGGGAGUGAAAUCUCUGGGCUUAACCCAGAGGCUGCUUCCAAAACUGCUGUGCUCGAGUGUGGGAGAGGCGCGUGGAAUUGCAGGUGUAGCGGUGAAAUGCGUAGAUAUCUGCAGGAACACCCGUGGCGAAAGCGGCGCGCUGGACCACUACUGACGCUGAGGAACGAAAGCUAGGGGAGCAAAC